CUGAACCAGUCGUCGCUCCGCCCCUUCGUACCGCUAGAGCUCUGCUAGGGUUGCCCUGAGGUCCUCCUCGAGCUAGCUCAAAGCUCAAGUCCUACUUCCUGCACGACUUCCUGAUCCGUCUCCCGAACUGCUGUGCUUCGGGGCCCAAUGUCGAGGUCUGUGCGAACCCUUUUCCAGAUGGGCGAGGUCCUCGUGGUCAGCAAGGGAGUGGUGAUCCAACAGCUUAGCCAUCCGGGCUAGAAUUCGAACGUCUUUCUUUCAUGUUUCUUUAGGGCUAUGGCCCCUGUAUUUGUUGUUACCGGAUUUGUAAACUCUUAGUCAAACUGCUUAUCCUGCUUUUGUUGGCAUCGCGGUGUGCCUGGUUUUGUAGGGGUGACGUUAUGAACCCCAGGACUGCAUUGUCGAUUUAUCUAUGUGUGA
Long non-coding RNA from Vigna unguiculata (cowpea), 420 nucleotides. RefSeq lists it as uncharacterized. NCBI's taxonomy places the organism in Eukaryota, Viridiplantae, Streptophyta, Magnoliopsida, Fabales, Fabaceae. The record is from RefSeq and is a predicted model, not a curated record.